GAUGAAGAACGUAGCGAAAUGCGAUAAGUAGUGUGAAUUGCAGAAUUCAGUGAAUCAUCGAAUCUUUGAACGCACAUUGCGCCCCUUGGUAUCCCGAGGGGCAUGCCUGUUCGAGCGUCAUUUCACCACUCAAGCCUGGCUUGGUGUUGGGCGACGUCCCCUUGGGGACGCGCCUUGAAACGCUCGGCGGCGUGGCACCGGCUUUAAGCGUAGCAGAAUCUUUCGCUUUGGAAGUCGGGGCCCCGUCUGCCGGAAGACCUACUCGCAAGGUUGACCUCGGAUCAGGCAGGGAUACCCGCUGAACUUAAGCAUAUCAAUAAGCGGAGGA
RNAcentral lists this unclassified non-coding RNA (328 nucleotides) under soil metagenome. Its description in RNAcentral is "partial contains 5.8S ribosomal RNA, internal transcribed spacer 2, and large subunit ribosomal RNA". The stretch from base 1 to 120 matches the Rfam family "5.8S ribosomal RNA", at positions 35 to 154 of the family's 154-position model. The record is from RNAcentral.